Molecule: transfer RNA, 72 nt
Filed under: Camelus bactrianus (Bactrian camel)
Lineage: Eukaryota; Metazoa; Chordata; Mammalia; Artiodactyla; Camelidae
Also listed under: 2 other names
Rfam family: tRNA
About the family: Transfer RNA (tRNA) molecules are approximately 80 nucleotides in length. Their secondary structure includes four short double-helical elements and three loops (D, anti-codon, and T loops). Further hydrogen bonds mediate the characteristic L-shaped molecular structure. tRNAs have two regions of fundamental functional importance: the anti-codon, which is responsible for specific mRNA codon recognition, and the 3' end, to which the tRNAs corresponding amino acid is attached (by aminoacyl-tRNA synthetases). tRNAs cope with the degeneracy of the genetic code in two manners: having more than one tRNA (with a specific anti-codon) for a particular amino acid; and 'wobble' base-pairing, i.e. permitting non-standard base-pairing at the 3rd anti-codon position.
Source: Rfam by way of RNAcentral
GAGGGUGUAGCUCAGUGGUAGAGUGAAUGCCUAGCAUGCAUAAGGUCCUGGGUUCAAUCCCCACUACCUCCA